RNAcentral lists this transfer RNA (83 nucleotides) under Candidatus Omnitrophota bacterium. Its description in RNAcentral is "tRNA-Leu". It matches the Rfam family "tRNA". Rfam says of the family: Transfer RNA (tRNA) molecules are approximately 80 nucleotides in length. Their secondary structure includes four short double-helical elements and three loops (D, anti-codon, and T loops). The record is from RNAcentral. Lineage: Bacteria; Pseudomonadati; Candidatus Omnitrophota.
GCCGAAGUGGCGGAAUGGCAUACGCGGCGGUCUCAAAAACCGUUGGGGGCAACUCCGUAAGGGUUCAACUCCCUUCUUCGGCA